AACGAACGCUGGCGGCAUGCCUAACACAUGCAAGUCGGACGAGACCUUUGGGUCUAGUGGCGCACGGGUGCGUAACGCGUGGGAAUCUGCCCUUGGGUUCGGAAUAACAGUGAGAAAUUGCUGCUAAUACCGGAUGAUGUCUUCGGACCAAAGAUUUAUCGCCCAGGGAUGAGCCCGCGUAGGAUUAGCUAGUGGGUGGGGUAAUGGCCUACCAAGGCGACGAUCCUUAGCUGGUCUGAGAGGAUGAUCAGCCACACUGGACUGAGACACGGCCCAGACUCCUACGGGAGGCAGCAGUGGGGAAUAUUGGACAAUGGGCGCAAGCCUGAUCCAGCAAUGCCGCGUGAGUGAUGAAGGCCUUAGGGUUGUAAAGCUCUUUUACCAGGGAUGAUAAUGACAGUACCUGGAGAAUAAGCUCCGGCUAACUCCGUG
RNAcentral lists this ribosomal RNA (432 nucleotides) under uncultured bacterium. RNAcentral's name for it is "partial 16S ribosomal RNA". It matches the Rfam family "Bacterial small subunit ribosomal RNA", at positions 29 to 507 of the family's 1533-position model. The record is from RNAcentral.